RNAcentral lists this unclassified non-coding RNA (304 nucleotides) under Zea mays. Its description in RNAcentral is "misc RNA Zm00001eb036980". The record is from RNAcentral. Lineage: Eukaryota; Viridiplantae; Streptophyta; Magnoliopsida; Poales; Poaceae.
CGUGCACGUGGCGGUCGCACGCGACGCAGAGGCGCGCGGCGUCCGCGCGGCAGUGCAGAGCCGCCGCCGCCUCCCCGCAGUAGUCGCACGGGCACUGCUGCCCGUCCGCUCCUCCCCCGCCGCAGCUCUUCAUCUCUCACGCCGCCACCAACCUACCCGACGAACUGACACACACACAGAGGGAAGAGAGAGCACAAAGCCCGCGCACGUGGACCACGAGGCGCACCAAACCGAAUCGCUGGGGCCGGACCAGCCGACGAGUAAAAAUGGCGAGAGGCGAGCGUUCGCUUGCUCGCGACUUCGC